AGCGAACGCUGGCGGCGUGCCUAACACAUGCAAGUCGAACGUGAAAGGGAGCAAUCCCAAGUAAAGUGGCGUACGGGUGAGUAACACGUAGGUAAUCUACCCCAGAAUCUGGAAUAACCGGCCGAAAGGCUGGCUAAUACUGGAUAGAGCGACGGAAUCCGUAAUUGGGUUUUUCGGGAAAGGGAGCCUGUAAAAAGGCCUUCGUUCUGGGAUGAGCCUGCGUCCCAUCAGCUAGUUGGUGAGGUAAAAGCUACCAAGGCAAUGACGGGUAGCUGGUCUGAGAGGACGAUCAGCCACACUGGAACUGAAACACGGUCCAGACUCCUACGGGAGGCAGCAGUGGGGAAUCUUGCGCAAUGGACGAAAGUCUGACGCAGCAACGCCGCGUGAGUGAAGAAGGCCUUCGGGUUGUAAAGCUCUGUCGAGUGGGACGAAAAUGCUUGGAGUUCACAGCUCCAGGAACUGACGGUACCACUAAAGGAAGCACCGGCUAACUCCGUG
RNAcentral lists this ribosomal RNA (501 nucleotides) under uncultured bacterium. RNAcentral describes it as "partial 16S ribosomal RNA". It matches the Rfam family "Bacterial small subunit ribosomal RNA", at positions 29 to 507 of the family's 1533-position model. The record is from RNAcentral.